RNAcentral lists this ribosomal RNA (532 nucleotides) under uncultured Lachnospiraceae bacterium. RNAcentral describes it as "bacterial SSU rRNA". It matches the Rfam family "Bacterial small subunit ribosomal RNA", at positions 1 to 507 of the family's 1533-position model. Lineage: Bacteria; Bacillati; Bacillota; Clostridia; Lachnospirales; Lachnospiraceae. The record is from RNAcentral.
GUUACGUACGAAGUAGUUAGGUUUUGUAUCCUGGCUGAGGUAGUAGACGCUUGGGCGGGCGUGCUUAAACACAUGCAAGUCGAACGGAGAUUUAUACGCAGAGGCGUAUUUUCGGUCAAAUCAUGUGUAAUCUUAGUGGCGGACGGGUGAGUAACGCGUGGGUAACCUGCCUUACACUGGGGGGAUAACACUUAGAAAUAGGUGCUAAUACCGCAUAAGCGCACGAAGCCGCAUGGAUUUGUGUGAAAAACUCCCGGUGGUGUAAGAUGGACCCGCGUCUGAUUAGCUUGUUGGCGGGGUAACGGCCCACCAAGGCGACGAUCAGUAGCCGGCCUGAGAGGGUGGACGGCCACAUUGGGACUGAGACACGGCCCAAACUCCUACGGGAGGCAGCAGUGGGGAUAUUGGACAAUGGGGGAACCCUGAUCCAGCGACGCCGCGUGAGUGAAGAAGUAUUUCGGUAUGUAAAGCUCUGUCAGCAGGGAAGAAAGAAAUGACGGUACCUGACCAAGAAGCCCCGGCUAACUACGUG